RNAcentral lists this ribosomal RNA (518 nucleotides) under uncultured bacterium. Its description in RNAcentral is "bacterial SSU rRNA". It matches the Rfam family "Bacterial small subunit ribosomal RNA", at positions 554 to 1071 of the family's 1533-position model. The record is from RNAcentral.
UUGGGCGUAAAGCGAGCGCAGGCGGUUAGAUAAGUCUGAAGUUAAAGGCUGUGGCUUAACCAUAGUACGCUUUGGAAACUGUUUAACUUGAGUGCAGAAGGGGAGAGUGGAAUUCCAUGUGUAGCGGUGAAAUGCGUAGAUAUAUGGAGGAACACCGGUGGCGAAAGCGGCUCUCUGGUCUGUAACUGACGCUGAGGCUCGAAAGCGUGGGGAGCGAACAGGAUUAGAUACCCUGGUAGUCCACGCCGUAAACGAUGAGUGCUAGGUGUUAGGCCCUUUCCGGGGCUUAGUGCCGCAGCUAACGCAUUAAGCACUCCGCCUGGGGAGUACGACCGCAAGGUUGAAACUCAAAGGAAUUGACGGGGGCCCGCACAAGCGGUGGAGCAUGUGGUUUAAUUCGAAGCAACGCGAAGAACCUUACCAGGUCUUGACAUCCCGAUGCCCGCUCUAGAGAUAGAGUUUUACUUCGGUACAUCGGUGACAGGUGGUGCAUGGUUGUCGUCAGCUCGUGUCGUGAG